GCAGCAGGCACGCAAAUUACCCACUCCCGGCACGGGGAGGUAGUGACAAAAAAUAACGAUACGGGACUCUAUUGAGGCCCCGUAAUCGGAAUGAGUACACUUUAAAUUCUUUAACAAGGAUCCAUUGGAGGGCAAGUCUGGUGCCAGCAGCCGCGGUAAUUCCAGCUCCAAUAGCGUAUAUUAAAGUUGUUGCGGUUAAAAAGCUCGUAGUUGGUUCUGCGUGCCGCGCUGUCGGUUCGCCGCCUGUCGGUGUAACUGGCAUGUCGCGGCAUGUCCUGUCGGUGGUGAACGAGGUCUCCGGUGCUGCUGACGGCUAUAUCUAGCCAAAGUUAGUGCCGUGUGUAAUCUCGUUUGCCGAUCUCUCCUACUCCGGUGCUCUUAAACGAGUGUCGAGGUAGGCCGACACGUUCACUUUGAACAAAUUAGAGUGCUUAAAGCAGGCUGAAAUAUCUGCCUGAAUAGUGGUGCAUGGAAUGAUAAAAUAGGACCUCGGUUCUAUUUUGUUGGUUUUAGGAAUAUGAGGUAAUGAUCAAUGUGGACAGGCGGGGGCAUUCGUAUUGCGACGUAGAGGUGAAAUUCUUGGAUCGUCGCAAGACGCACUAGAGCGAAAGCAUUUGCCAAGUAUGUCUUAAUUGAUCAAGAACGAAAGUUAGAGGUUCGAAGGCGAUCAGAUACCGCCCUAGUUCUUACCAUAAACGAUGCCAGCCAGCGAUCCGCCGAUGUUCCUAUAAUGACUCGGCGGGGAGCUUCUACCCGGGAAACCAAAGCUUUUGGGUUCCGGGGGAAGUAUGGUUGCAAAGCUGAAACUUAAAGGAAUUGACGGAAGGGCACCACCAGGAGUGGAGCCUGCGGCUUAAUUUGACUCAACACGGGAAACCUCACCAGGCCAGGACAUUGGAAGGAUUGACAGAUUGACAGCUCUUUCUUGAUUCAGUGGGUAGUGGUGCAUGGCCGUUC
RNAcentral lists this ribosomal RNA (957 nucleotides) under Empicoris sp. 1 CW-2009. RNAcentral's name for it is "SSU rRNA". It matches the Rfam family "Eukaryotic small subunit ribosomal RNA", at positions 425 to 1293 of the family's 1831-position model. The record is from RNAcentral. Lineage: Eukaryota; Metazoa; Arthropoda; Insecta; Hemiptera; Reduviidae.